UGGCUGUUCUGUGUGUUUGCGGUCAAUGUGUUUUUUUUAAGUUUUUUCUAUUAAUGAGGAUAUUGCAAACUGGGCAUUUUUUUUUUAUCACAGGCUGCACACGAACCCUGUGUGGUGUGGUCAGAGUGGUUGGAGAAGGUGUGGUCAGCGCUGCAGUGGCUGGAGAAGGUGUGGUCAGCGUUGCAGUGGCUGGAGAAGGUGUGGUCAGCGCUGCAGUGGCUGGAGAAGGUGUGGUCAGCGUUGCAGUGGCUGGAGAAGGUGUGGUCAGCGCUGCAGUGGCUGGAGAAGGUGUGGUCAGCGUUGCAGUGGCUGGAGAAGGUGUGGUCAGCGCUGCAGUGGCUGGAGAAGGUGUGGUCAGCG
This is a long non-coding RNA of Xyrauchen texanus (razorback sucker), 360 nucleotides long. RefSeq lists it as uncharacterized. Lineage: Eukaryota; Metazoa; Chordata; Actinopteri; Cypriniformes; Catostomidae. The transcript has 3 exons. The record is from RefSeq and is a predicted model, not a curated record.